This 304-nucleotide unclassified non-coding RNA is filed under the name fungal sp. RNAcentral's name for it is "partial internal transcribed spacer region". The stretch from base 1 to 46 matches the Rfam family "Eukaryotic small subunit ribosomal RNA", at positions 1786 to 1831 of the family's 1831-position model. Lineage: Eukaryota; Fungi. The record is from RNAcentral.
AAGUCGUAACAAGGUUUCCGUAGGUGAACCUGCGGAAGGAUCAUUUGUGAAAAUUUAAUGUUUUUUUGAAGAGGGGUAAAAUCCUUUUUAGAAAAACAUAAAAAAAGAGAUUUCUUGUGGUUUAUAAAUGAUUUUUUCAAAAAAAUUGUUUGUUGUUGGAUUCUUUCUGAUGACAAACAAUUUAUAUUUUUAAAAUCAAUUUUUUUAUAAAAAACUAUUUUAAACAUGUAUUUAAAAAAUUAACAGUUUUAAAAAAUAAAUUAAAAAAAAAUUAAAACUGUCAACGGUGGAUCUCUUGGCUCGU